This 1071-nucleotide long non-coding RNA is filed under the name Papio anubis (olive baboon). RNAcentral's name for it is "lncRNA (ENSPANG00000048202.1)". The record is from RNAcentral. Lineage: Eukaryota; Metazoa; Chordata; Mammalia; Primates; Cercopithecidae.
AUGGUGAGGAGGAGAUGGAGGAACAAAGAGGGCUCCGUGGGGAACCUCACAGGGCUGCACCCUGCAAGCCCCCAGCCUAGGUGGAGCUGCUCCUGCCCCACUGCUGCUGCGGGUCCCAUCCAGCCGCUCCCUCCCAGCCCCGCCCCUGCCAGCCAGUCUCCCUUUGGCAUUCAGCCACAUCUCUGCCCCUCCGUUUCUUGCUUUUCUUUUUUGAAAUGUAUUUCCGUUUUGCUGUGGGUCUCUGCGGUCUCCCUGUGCGACUCCGUCCACGCCUUUUCCAGCUUUUCCUCCCUGCCUCCUCCUAACUCACUCUUCUCUCAUCUUUUUGUUUCUCUAUGUUUUGCUUUGUCUCUCUCAGCCUGUCUUCCCAUCUCUCUCCGUGUGUGUGUGUGUGUGUGUGUGUGUGUGUGUGUGUGUGACUUAUGUUUCUUGCUCUGUCUUGCCUCGUUCCCCAUCCCACUUAUUCUUUUUGCUUGUCUCUCUGUCUCUGACUCUGCAUCUGUCUGUAUCAGUCUCUCUAUAUGUGCAUCUCUGUGUCUCUUUCCGUUUCUGUCUCUGUGUCUCUGUCUCUUUCUCUGUAUCUCACUGUCUCUGUCUUCAUGUUCCUGCGUUUCUACCUCUGUCUUCUGUCUCUGCGUUUCCGUCUCUCUGUGUUUAUCUCUGUGUCUUUCUGUCUCUGUGUGUCUGUCUUCAUGUCGCUGUGUUUCUGGGUCUCUGUCUCUCUGUGUCUCUAGCUUCCUCUCUCUGUAUCUCUGUGUCUCUGUCUUUGUCUCCAUCUCUAUAUCUUUGUGUCUCUGUCCCUGUGUCUCAGUCUGUGUCUCUGUGUCUCUGUCUGUGUCUCAGUCUCUAUGUCUCCAUGUCUGUAUCUCUGUCUCUGUGUCUUCUCUGUGUCUCUGUCUCUGUGUCUGUGUCCCUGGCUUCCUGUGUGUCUCUGCCCGCCUCACCCUUGAGGUUCCCUGCCCCCUGCUCUCUGCAUGGCCUCCUGUCUCUGCUUUCUGUUGUCCCUGCUUCCAUCUGUUUCCUUUUUGGUCCCUGUCUCUUUGUCCUCAGUCUUUCCCAAGUUUGCAUUGA